UGGGGAAUCGUUCACAAUGGGCGCAAGCCUGAUGACGCAACGCCGCGUGGGGGAUGAAGGUCUUCGGAUUGUAAACCCCUGUCGAAUGGGACGAAAGACUCGCGAGUUAAUACUUCGCGGGAGUGACGGUACCGUUAAAGGAAGCCACGGCUAACUCUGUGCCAGCAGCCGCGGUAAUACAGAGGUGGCAAGCGUUGUUCGGAAUUACUGGGCGUAAAGGGCGCGUAGGCGGCCUACUAAGUCAGACGUGAAAUCCCCCGGCUUAACCUGGGAACUGCGUCUGAUACUGGAAGGCUUGAGUAUGGGAGAGGGAUGUAGAAUUCCAGGUGUAGCGGUGAAAUGCGUAGAUAUCUGGAGGAAUACCGGUGGCGAAGGCGGCAUCCUGGACCAUUACUGACGCUGAGGCGCGAAAGCUAGGGGAGCAAACGGGAUUAGAUACCCCAGUAGUCCCUGAGCGGGCUGGCAAGGCGCAU
Molecule: ribosomal RNA, 473 nt
Filed under: uncultured bacterium
Lineage: Bacteria
Description: bacterial SSU rRNA
Rfam family: Bacterial small subunit ribosomal RNA
Source: RNAcentral